Molecule: long non-coding RNA, 1128 nt
Filed under: Monodelphis domestica (gray short-tailed opossum)
Lineage: Eukaryota; Metazoa; Chordata; Mammalia; Didelphimorphia; Didelphidae
Description: lncRNA (ENSMODG00000040207.1)
Source: RNAcentral
CUAGUACUCCUCUUUGUUCUAGGACUGUAACCUGAAUGAGCAUAUGGACAAUACAACAGAGUACUGAACUCAGAGCAUCAAAGUACAAGGGAGCCCUGUAAUCUCCUUUUGGCUGAUUGUCAGAUCCCUUUACUGUCUAUGACUGAGAGCUCCAGAGCUCCAGACUGAGAGCUGGGACUGCCUUAGCUCUCAGGUCUGUUUUCUACUCCCUCCCUAUCUUCUCUGCCAUCUUGGCUCCAGUGUAAUUUCUGUAGGGAAAAUAUUUUGUCAACUGGAUGGAGAAGGAAAACUUUGGGGAGAAGAUGAGACCAAAGUUGGACCUUGAACAUAAAGAUUCCAAAAGGGUGAGACAAAAGAGAGAAUUUCAACCAUACAAUGAAAGCUUUUUGAGGACUGGGAAUGCUUUUCACUCUAUUCUUAUAACUUGGCACAGUCCCUUGAACAUGGUUUCCAUCCAUCUAUCUGGAUGUUGUUAGUAACCAGGCUGGCCACUCUGAAAAACUCAUUUGGACUGAAGUCAAUUAAUAUUGCCUGCUACAAAAACCACAUGACUGGCUCAAGGGGAAUUAGAAGGGUUAGAAGGACAGCAGCUAUAAACAUUUCAUCUCUUCCUCUGCAUGGGAAUAGGGAAAUGCAACUAAUACAGAAAGAACAGGUGAAGAUUUAACACAUCCCUUACAUUUUUCUGUGUAAAACCAGCCUGGACUCCCCUUUCUCUGUGUCUGAUUAUCAGGCUUCUUCAGUUCACUACAUCUUGUCCAAAUAUGAUCUAACUGGAGCCAUGAAAAUUAUUUUCAAGUGAUUAUCGUAUUAAUUGUCUGACCAUCAUGUCAUAGAAUCACCCAAAUCCUAGGAUAUCUUAGGAUUUUAGGUCAAUAUCUUUGAUCUAUUGAUGUGGCAGAAAGUGAAAGCGGAUGUUUUGUUGUGAGAGAUUCCAGUUACUUUUCCCUAAAUACUCGCCCUUUGGUCUGGGUUACUUAUAUUUUUCAAGGGUCUUUGUAUUUUUCCUUGAGCCUCAUCAACUUUUCUUGUUAGCCUACAAUAGAAUGACCUCUAAAGCUACUUGAAGAGACAAUGAAUUAAAUUUUGUAAGAGGUUAAUAAAAUUCAGUCCAACUUAUUAAAUGCA